UAUAAUGGGUCAGCGACUUAUAUUCUGUAGCAAGGUUAACCGUAUAGGGGAGCCGAAGGGAAACCGAGUCUUAACUGGGCGUUAAGUUGCAGGGUAUAGACCCGAAACCCGGUGAUCUAGCCAUGGGCAGGUUGAAGGUUGGGUAACACUAACUGGAGGACCGAACCGACUAAUGUUGAAAAAUUAGCGGAUGACCUGUGGCUGGGGGUGAAAGGCCAAUCAAACCGGGAGAUAGCUGGUUCUCCCCGAAAGCUAUUUAGGUAGCGCCUCGUGAACUCAUCUUCGGGGGUAGAGCACUGUUUCGGCUAGGGGGCCAUCCCGGCUUACCAACCCGAUGCAAACUACGAAUACCGAAGAAUGUUAUCACGGGAGACACACGGCGGGUGCUAACGUCCGUCGUGAAGAGGGAAACAACCCAGACCGCCAGCUAAGGUCCCAAAGUCAUGGUUAAGUGGGAAACGAUGUGGGAAGGCCCAGACAGCCAGGAUGUUGGCUUAGAAGCAGCCAUCAUUUAAAGAAAGCGUAAUAGCUCACUGGUCGAGUCGGCCUGCGCGGAAGAUGUAACGGGGCUAAACCAUGCACCGAAGCUGCGGCAGCGACGCUUAUGCGUUGUUGGGUAGGGGAGCGUUCUGUAAGCC
This 638-nucleotide ribosomal RNA is filed under the name Enterobacter cloacae. RNAcentral describes it as "partial 23S ribosomal RNA". It matches the Rfam family "Bacterial large subunit ribosomal RNA", at positions 611 to 1249 of the family's 2925-position model. The record is from RNAcentral. RNAcentral also lists the same sequence under 1 other name. Lineage: Bacteria; Pseudomonadati; Pseudomonadota; Gammaproteobacteria; Enterobacterales; Enterobacteriaceae.